Non-coding RNA from Epinephelus lanceolatus (giant grouper), 319 nucleotides. Lineage: Eukaryota; Metazoa; Chordata; Actinopteri; Perciformes; Serranidae. The record is from RefSeq and is a predicted model, not a curated record.
GGGACCGGUUGCAGCCUUAGCUAAAUGGUAAACAACAAACAUAGCAACACACCGGUAAGGUACCUGAUGGAUGGCAAGUGAUUUUGGAUGUCUGAUGACUCCGUGAACUAUGCGUACUGGUAGACACAGUCCAUCUGGCAACUCACCAGUCCCUGUGGUGGCAUCGACACCAGUGGCCACUUUCGCUGGAGGGAUCUUCCAUGUGGAGAUCCCCUUUACUUCAUCUGUUUGGCAGGCACUCAAGCAUACGAAAAAAGUGUGGGCUUCUGGAGUAGUACCAGACAAUAAAUACAUCGAAUACCAUGAAGAGAAACUCAGG